CACGUAACAUGUGUACAACUUUGUCAUGAUAUUAAUUUUUGGGGCUUUCAUCGCUCUAAAAUCUUGCAUCGUAUUCAUUAUUGUUGUCAGCAGUGAUGACUGAAACCUAGAUGGAUAUUGAAAGUUGCUUGCUGCAAGGCUGAAGUGCGCUAUGGCGGCUGUGGUUUGGUUCAACAUCUAAUUUCUUGAAAAGUAAGGGUCAGCUGAUAUGUAAAAUGAAGCCUCUUAUGGUAGUUGUAUUAUCAUCUUUCACAAAUCAAAAGGAAAUUGUACUCCUUUCUAAACAAUUCUUGUCGAUAGGGUAACCAGUUCUUUUUGGACGGUCUGAGCAAUAUAUUUUCAGGGUGAGCACCAAUUUUGGGCUUCAACUGUGGUGUAAGCUGUUAAUGAAG
This 392-nucleotide unclassified non-coding RNA is filed under the name Hevea brasiliensis (rubber tree). The record is from RNAcentral. Lineage: Eukaryota; Viridiplantae; Streptophyta; Magnoliopsida; Malpighiales; Euphorbiaceae.